ACUUCUGCUGCAGACCUGGAAGAC
Molecule: microRNA, 24 nt
Filed under: Bos taurus (domestic cattle)
Lineage: Eukaryota; Metazoa; Chordata; Mammalia; Artiodactyla; Bovidae
Description: bta-miR-2464-5p
Source: miRBase by way of RNAcentral